Molecule: long non-coding RNA, 8294 nt
Organism: Acinonyx jubatus (cheetah)
Lineage: Eukaryota; Metazoa; Chordata; Mammalia; Carnivora; Felidae
Exons: 2
Source: RefSeq, a predicted model, not a curated record
GAAAGAAAGAAAGAAAGAAAGAAAGAAAGAAAGAAAGAAAAUAUAUUCAUGGGACAGCUGGGUGGCUCAGUUGGUUAAGUAUCCAACUGUUGAUUUUGGCUCAGGUCAUGAUCCCAGAAUCAUGGGAUGGAGCCCCACGUUGGGCUCCAUGCUUAGCAUGAAGCCUGCUUAAGAUUCUAUUUAUCUCUCCUUCUGCCCCUCUCCCCCAUUCACCCUUUCCCUCUCUCUAAAAUAAAAAAUAAUUAAAUAAUUUUUUUUUUUUUUAAUAAAUAAAUAAGGGGCACCUGGGUGGCUCAGUCAGUUAAGCAUCCGACUCUUGGUUUCGGCUCAGGUCAUGUUCUCAUAGUUCACGAGUGCAAGCCCCAAGUCGGGCUCUGCACCAAUAGCAUGGAGCCUGCUUGGGAGUCUGUCUCUCUUCCUCUCUCUUUCUCUGAUCCUCCCCCACUCGUGUUCUCUCUCUCUCUCUCUCUCCCUCUCUCUCAAAUAAAUAUUUUUAAAUUAAUUAAUUAAUUAAUUUAAUGUAUUCAUGACUAUGCCCAGUGUCUUCACCGUGGAACCCAGGGAUUUUCCUCUUUGCCGUCCACUUUCUGAGUCUUACCAGCUGGUCAUACCAGGUCCAGGUGGCAGUGUCUCCAGUGUUUCUCCUCCUGGGAGAUGAAACCUUAGCAAGGCUUCUGAAGAAUUUCUCAGAAUUUGUUCUUUUAACAUUAUCUUUAAAUGUUUUCUAUUUUCUUUUAUUAUUAUUUUAAAAUAUAUAUUUACUGAUAAAAGAAGGUUAUGCUUUUUAAACCUUUUUUGUUUGGGCUUAUUCUCUUAAAUAUCCUGCCUAUAAUCUGCCUCCACAUUUAUAAGCCAUGCCUUGUAGAUAUUUCCGAAAUUUCAGCUGGAACCUAUUUUGUGAAACAUAUUUAAACCUAACUUAAUAAAUACCUUUUAUAAAGCAUCAUUUUCAACCUAUGAAAUUAUACUCAGAGAAUUAAAAGUGCUUAUUCCAGGAAUCGUAUUACUUUAGUCAUUUAUUUUUCUUCACUGUGGUAUGUAUUGAUAAAUGUUGCUGUAAAACAGCUCUUGGAUAGCAUGUUGUACAUACUUAAUAUUAGUAAUAUUCAGGCUUUCUGGUUAAUCACGAAGAAAGAAUUAGAGAUUAAUUUAUCUUGAUGGUCUCAUUUGCACUUUGCUAUCACCAUCCUUUUUAAAAAUCUGCUUUUUCCAGUGACCUUUUUUGAUUCCUUGCUAAUCUCUUGACCAAGUCUUAGUAGUGUUCAACUCUGACACCGUUCGAUCAGGAUAAUUGUGUGCCAGGUCUAGUUGUUAAUCACUUUCACUAAUGGGAUCACAAGGAUCAACAAAAGAUUGCUCAAAAGCACAUUAAGUGAUAUGACUGUUGGCUCCUGCUUGAAAACAAAACGGAAUACAGAGCUCUUUAGAUUCAGUGAUCAGUUCCCUUGGUCUGGCCCUACUGUGUGCUGAGCAGAUGGGCCGUACCUACAAGGAUGAAUAAGACUUCCUGCCUGCUCUCCUUCAUGUAUCUUUUUUUUUUCCCUUUUAAGUAGAAUCACAGUUGCUUUGAAAGCUGUGGGAGGCCAGUUCUCAUAAUGCAGUCCCUGCAGCUGAUCUCAUUCUUAGAGCAUUGCUUAACACAGUACCUCCCACCAUUCUUCCAAAAGUUGAACCACAAAAUUAAACAAUAGCAGAGGGAGAGAAACACUAGAAAGCGGAGUCAAGGGAGAAAAAAUAUGUUGUGAGCUUGUGAAAUUCUCUCCCGAGAUCCUUGUUCUGGAUGGCUCACAAGUCACAUGGAUCUCAGGGCUCCUCUGGGCCCAGGUCCCUGGGAGGGAAUCACACUCUGCCAUGCACGUGCAACUCAGCUCUGAAACUGAGCUUAUAAAGAUGUGUGUGGCCCCUUCCUCCCUCCGUCCUGUUUUAUGCAUGUUUGAGGACCUGAAGGUCCCUAUGCAGACACUGGGUUUUAUUUAGAGUUUUUAGGGCUUUUUUUUUUUUUUUUUAAGUAAAAUAUCUUUCCUCAGCUUUUUCUUCUGAGUGCCUUCAUACUCGCUCUUUUCCCCUAAGGACUGUGGUUCAACUUCCAGUCUGGUGUUGAGAAUUCAUCAGUGCCACUGCUGUAGUUAUGUCUGUUCACCUUCUUGGCCGCCUAGUGCCUCCUGGCAUUUUAUCCAGUGGCGCAGACCGUAUUCCUCUCAUUCAGCUUACUAACCUUGAAGUACAAUUUCCAUGAUACGCUUUUGUCACUUGUGAGGAAUAGGUGGGCAAUUCUGUAGAUCUUUCUUUACCAUUAAAUGCAAGUGGCACUCCAGGUUCCCAGAAGAUGACAAUCUCCCAGCCUCAGGAAAUUCUCUAUUUUCUGCUAUUAGAACAUACACUCCAGACAGAUACUGAAUAUUAUUUCAAAAUACAUUACUGUUUCACAAAUUUGCUUGUGUUCAUUCUGUCUUUAUGGGUUUCUCCCCACCCAACUAUUUUCUAUUUUCUGAUAUUCCUUUUUUUUUUUUUUUUUUGGUCAGUCCUCACGUGAAAAUCAUCCAGAGUCUGCUCUGGGCCACAGCUAGAGUGGAAGUGGAGAGGAAAGCCUUCCCGUAAUGGAUAAUGAGGCUCUCAAUAUUAGUUCCAUCUUCAGGAUUACAUCAGCCACUUUCUUCCCUGACAUUAUCAGCAGAGAGGGCAGAAGGCAGUUUUCGGUGUUUGCCUAAUUGACACAGUUAUAAAGAUGAGCGUUUUUCCUGAAAAGCCUAUAGUUGAAUUGAAAGAAACAGUUGUUCUCAGUCAGUAGUCAUUAUAUCUCUCACUCACUGCCAUUUUCUGAAGGGACUAUUCAGAGACAGAAAUAAUCCCCUCGUUCCAAAAUUAUUCAGGGCUUUGGAGUCCUGGUUUUGGUUUACAAAGGGAAGGUUUCAUGUUAUACUUCAAGUAAUUUUUUUAAGUAUGUAAAACCCAAGAAGUAAAAUGAAAUCUGUUUUUAUCUGCCCAACAUGUCCUGUAUUUUUAUAGAUACCAUGCAGGUUUUUUGUUUUUUUUUUUUUUUUUACCUCUGUGUACACUUACCUGUAUAACCUGAAUAGUUUAAUAGGAAACAUGCAUCUAACGUUAGAGGAGUUUCUGAUCAGUUUUCCUGGUUAUAAACAUAAACUCCUUGUGGUCCUUCUUUCCUUCUUUUCCCUUGCUCAAAUGCACCAAUUCCAUCAUUUGGUGGGAUCAGAUGUUUGAAGAACGUGAAAACUCUGCAUCAUUUUCAACACCCCUCGCCCCCCACCCCCCCCACCACUCCCACAAAAUACACAUAUACACAAAUAUGUAAAAUUGAAUUCACCAUUUUAGGGGCUUCACAGACUCCCUAAAACUCUUACACAGGUAGGAGAGGGAAAGGCUUGCUCCAAGACUUGUGGAGAUUUCUGUGCCCAGCGAAAAUCAAGACCUAUUCUGCAACGUUACUGUACCAGAUAAAUAAUUCCUCAUCUCAGUUACCAACAUUUUAUGCCCUAAGUUCUUAGAGCUUGCAUAAUUGGUACAUAUAAUGGCAUUUUAUCUGAGGAUUCAUAAAAUUCUUGUUCUAAUUUUACCUCUCUGGCACUUUGGCUGCCUCGUGGAAUUUCUCUGGCUUUGGUUUUGUGACCUGUAAAAAGAAGAGCUUGGCACAUAGCAAUGAUUCAAAUCCUACACAGAGCCUGGAGGUCUAAGCAGCAGAGAGUAGAGCUUCUCUGACAUAGAGCCGUGGGAGAGCCGUGCACAUACACGCCUUCCUCAGUUAUUUCCUUCCAGCUUGAAAGCCGCUGGGCCAGAGGACCUCUCCUGGCCCUUUCACUUUCUGGACAAACCCUUCUUCUGUGGGCCACUCUAUGCUGGGACGGGUCUGUCUACUGCUUGGAUCAGCUUAAUUUGUGGAAGCAUCUGUUCUACCUCUUUCAAUAUUCCCUCCAGAAGAGGGUGGGAAUGUUGCAGGGAAGUAUUGCUGUGUGUUAAAUAGCAUGUGGUUUCUGAGAUCCUCAUCAGUUCACAUAACCCAGCCUUUCAAAGAAUUUUACAUUUUUUCUGUAGUUGUCAGUUUAGCUUAAACAUAUUUUGAAACUUAUGUUCUGUGACAGUUGGUUGAAAAUUGGCCUAGAGCCUCCAGCUUUUAGACUGUCUAGUAAUCACCGUUCUUCUACAUAAUUUAUGUACUUAUGUCUUCUGAAAAGCAGAAGUUAAAUUGAAAUAAGCAUUUUUCCCGACUUGCAACAUCUCUAAUCAAAGUUUAACCCCCUUUUGGGCCAUUUUCCCCACAGUGCAUUAAAAAAAAAAAAAAAAAAAAAACACUUCAGUGAGAGUCGUCACUCAGGAGUGGCAUUCCAGGCAAAACCUUUCACCCUGGUCUGAUCAACCGGUCCUCCUAGAAGAGGUCUAAAGGGACCCUUUGAAUACUCUGUGUCAUAGCAUGACUGCAUUAAGCAAAGGGUCAAGACAGAUCUACUUCUUGAAUCUUUUGGGAUUGUCUUAAACUUGAAGGAUUUCCCUAAAUAAAUGUUCUGCACUCAAAGGGUAGUCAUAAAGCACAAAUGAAGCUAAUAAAUGCUCAACAGACAUUCCUUUAAAGAAAAAAGUUUGUGAACACCAUUGGAUGCCAAGCAGAUGUUUGGCUUUGAGAAGACUUACAAACUGUUAAUGAAUGUCAACCCCGUGUUUGCUUCCAAGAAAAUAUGAAUAAAUGUUGGAAAUGCUGAGAGAAUAUUUCUUUCAUACAUGUAUGGCUAAAAGAGGACAUGCUGAAUAAGUUUUAUAACUUCAUAAAAUGCCCAUGUUUUGCUUUAACAUCAUAUAAUAAGCUGUUCAGCCCUGUCUGUCUCAUUUGCUACUCUACCUCUCCUGAGUAAUGUUAAAUAAUAAGGCCACGGUACUGUCUGGUAGCCACUUAUGUUAUACAGUUCCCCACCAGGGAAGUCCAUAUUUGACAGUAAAAUAUUAAUAAAUCUCAACACUUCAGAAUUCCACUACAAUUCAACAUUAUAUAGUUUUAGAUAUGAUCAGUUUAGAUAAACCACCAUCACCCAACAGCCGCACGUGCACACGCACACAUGCACAGACACCGAUGAGAACUGCAGAUCAUAUAACUCAGUAAAACAGAGUUAACUUGUACUGGAAAGUAUAUAAAAUAUAAGCAUGCAACUUAGUGAAUUUUCAUGAAACAAGUACACUCCUGUAUCAAGUACUCGAGCAUAACCAGCACCUCAGAAGCCCCCGCACGCUCCCCUCCCUGUAGCUUUAUUAUCCUCCCAAGAGUAAGUGCUAUCUUGAUUUCCAUGAUCAUGCUUCUUAAAUGCUAUCUUACUCGUUUCAGUCUUUUUCUGUUUUAUAUCUUGCUAACUUGGAAUAAGUGUACGUAUCUUCCAUAACUACAUUCAAAUUCUUGAUGAUUCUUUUCUGUUCAGCAAUUUUAAGUACAGACUCUGCAGCUUUCCACUGAGGCCUCCCUAAAGCUUUACAUAAAUCAAUAGUCAGCACUCUAAUGUGUCUUCAAAAACAAAUCCACCUAAUAGAUUAUGUACAGUUCUCUUUCAGUUCUAUGGUGAUAGAAUAAAGGGCUUCAUUUUCCGAUUUGUUAAGGACAUGGUAUAUGGAACCUACAAUAUUUCUUCAAUCUGUCUACUGACCUGAUUUUGUGGGGAAAGGAAAGCAGAGUUACUUUGGUGUAACUGGUUCUCCUUGAACCCAUAGGGUUUCUAGUGAUCACCUUCUUUCUAAUAAACCCAUGUGAGCCAUCCCCAUUUAGAGCAAUUAGAGGCUUGGCAUUUUGAGCCAGGCUAGGGCUUCAAGAGUCAAGACCAGGUAGGAUGUAAGCCAUGAGUGUUGAACAGCUGUAGGGCAUGGAGUAAAGAGAAGGAAAAGAGCACAUCCUAGAGGAAAAUGAUCUUGCAAAACAAGAGGCAUAUUACCAAGGAAGCAGACGGAGAGACGAAAAAUGGAUAUAAUAAGCUUUUAAGUUAAGGCAUGAAAAAGGAGGUGGUUCCAGAUAGUAUUUUCCAAGAGGAAGGGAGUAUUUCAUAGAGCAAAAGUGGGCAAACAUUUUCUGUAAAGGGCCAGAUAGUAAGUAUUUUAGGCUUUCUGGGCUAUACAGUCUAUGUCACAGCUACUCAACUCUGCCACGAUAGCGUGAAAGCAGCUCUGGACAAAAUAUAAAUGAAGGGGGUGACUGUGAUCCAAGAAGUCUUUAUGUAAAAAGCAGGCUACCGCCCAGAUUUGGCCCUGGGGUUAUAGUCUAUUGACCCCUGCAUGGUGUCUGUGGCUCGUGAAUGAAUGGUAAGCGGGAGACAUUCUGACAGAACAUCCAUGAGGUUCACUCCAACCUCCCUAGGCUGUAAUUUCCAGCUUUCUUUUCUGGAAAACUGAGACAUUUGCCAGUCUCUCUCCACCUGCCUGUUUCCCUUUCUCCAUGAUUCCUCAAAAAUGACUGACAUUAUUUCCGUAGUGACAGCUAUGCAGCCACUCUAGAGGGUCCAUUAAAUUUCUCUGUGUCCUGGGAUUCAAGAAAAACCGUUAAAAUGUGGAAUUCCCAGAAUUCAAUUUGUUUUUGAAUGAAGUGUCAAUAGAUAUUUAUGUGUCUCAGUAGGAGAUAGAUGAGGAACUAGGACCACAGAUAUCAGAUCCUGCUCUGUCACCAAAAUGCCUCCCCUCUGUUCUAGGGGGAUGUGCCAGCAAGAUGCAAAAGGACAAUUCCAGCCACGGGACCAGGCGGGAAGGGGCACACGCUAGCCUUCCCCUUAAGCUGGAAGUGGUCCAAAGCCAAAGUGAAGCAAAUUCUUGUUUGAUUUUUAUGCAUUAUUUUAGCUUCUGCCCUACAUGCCACUUCCUCUGCACUCCACCUUAGGAAAACAUUCUUAACUAUUUAACAUGUUCCCUUCCAAAUGCCACACUUUAUUUGUAUAUGUGUGCCACUGUGAAAAAUACAUAAUAUGGUUAUAUGUGUGUUGAAAUGAGAGAUCUAUAUUUAUAAUACUCCAGCACAAAUUUGUUGCCUCUUUAAUUUUUCUACAGUUGGGAGACUAUCCAUGUUACCAGAUGGAAAGCAAGUUUAUUUCUUCUCACCACUGCUCAUUGUUAUCUAAUGCAUCAUAAUAAUAUACAUCAUUUUAUUUAUGCUCAUAGCAAUGGCCAUAUAAGUUGCCUCUAAACCUUUGCUACCCUGGAAAGUGCUAAAGGGAAUAUCCUCUCUACAUAACCAUGCCAAGUGUUUUUUUAAUAUAUACUUAAGAAUGGAAGUGUGUGGCUGUGGCUAUAUCUAUAUUUUGUUUCAAUCAGAAUUGCCACAUUGCUCCAAAGCAGCUCUACUCAGAGUGUGCAUUCCCAGCUUUAUGUGAGAAGGUUGCUGUUUCUGCACCUUAACAUCAACGCUGGGCGUCCCUGAAUAUAUAACUUUGUCAAUUUGAUGGUUGUGUUGUUUUCACUUCUCUGAUUACUAGGGAGAUUAAGCAUCUCUUAAUAUAAAGAGAGACAGAGUGUGAGUGGGGGAGGGGCAGAGAGAGAGGGAGACACAGAAUCUGAAACAGGCUCCAGGCUCUGAGCUGUCAGCACAAAGCCCAGCAUGGGGCUCGAACCCACGAACCGCGAGAUCAUGACCUGAGCCAAAGUCAGACGCUUAACUGACUGAGCCAUCCAGGCACCCCUAGCAUCUCUUAAUAUAACUACUUACCUCUCUAGAUUUCUGCUUUUGAAGUUCAUUCAUUCAUUCAUUCAUUCAGCAAAUAUUUUUUGAGCACUCGCUAUGUUUGCUAUGUAUAAGUUCUAUAAAUAAAGCAGUGAACAAGAGGAAAAUCCCUGCCUUCACAUUGUAGCUGUUGUUCAAUAAAAUCAUUACACAUAUAUAUUCAAAGGUAAUAAUUACUGUGUAUGAUUGUGUGUAUAAAUGGUCAUGGUUGAUUUAUUAUAUAUCAGAUAGAUUUAUAUGAAAUCCUUGGUAAUAGUUGCUAUAAAGAAAAGCAACACACUGAAGAAGAAUAGGGGUACUGAACUGUCGGCUGGGGUUUUUUAUGGCUUAAUUGAAUAUUUCUGGUGAGAAAUCAUACGUAAGGUUUCUUUCUGGGGCGCCUGGGUGGCUCAGUUGGUUGAGUGUCCAACUUCAGCUCUGGUCAUGAUCUCACAGUUCAUGGGUUUGAGCCCCAUGUCAGGCUCUGUGCUGACAGCUCAGAGCCUGGAACCUGCUUUGGAUUCUGUGUCUCCCUCUCUCUUUGCCCCUCCCCCACUCACAUUUUCUCUCUCUCUCUCUCUCUCUCUCUCUCUCUCUCUCUCUCUCUCCCUUUCUCUCUCUCUCU